Molecule: ribosomal RNA, 496 nt
Filed under: uncultured bacterium
Lineage: Bacteria
Description: bacterial SSU rRNA
Rfam family: Bacterial small subunit ribosomal RNA
Source: RNAcentral
ACUCAAAUGAAUUGACGGGGGCCCGCACAAGCAGUGGAGUAUGUGGUUUAAUUCGAAGCAACGCGAAGAACCUUACCAGGAUUUGACAUCCUACUAACGAAGCAGAGAUGCAUAAGGUGCCCUUCGGGGAAAGUAGAGACAGGUGGUGCAUGGUUGUCGUCAGCUCGUGUCGUGAGAUGUUGGGUUAAGUCCCGCAACGAGCGCAACCCUUAUGGUUAGUUGCUACGCAAGAGCACUCUAGCCAGACUGCCGUUGACAAAACGGAGGAAGGUGGGGACGACGUCAAAUCAUCAUGCCCCUUAUGUCCUGGGCUACACACGUACUACAAUGGUGGUCAUACAAAGCGAAGCAAUACAGCGAUGUGGAGCAAAUCGCAAAAAGCCACCUCAGUUCGGAUCGCAGGCUGCAACCCGCCUGCGUGAAGUCGGAAUUGCUAGUAAUCGCGGAUCAGAAUGCCGCGGUGAAUACGUUCCCGGGCCUUGUACACACCGCCCGU